This is a long non-coding RNA of Humulus lupulus (European hop), 1087 nucleotides long. RefSeq lists it as uncharacterized. Lineage: Eukaryota; Viridiplantae; Streptophyta; Magnoliopsida; Rosales; Cannabaceae. The transcript has 2 exons. The record is from RefSeq and is a predicted model, not a curated record.
UAGCAGUGGUCCCCAAGAAACAAGACAUCACUCUAUUCUCUUGUUUCCCAUCAAGUGAGAAAAUCAGACAAAAUACUUGUCUUGUAUUCUUGGAAGAUCAUUACCCCAAAGAUCAUCUCUAACAAUGGAUUAAGGGUUCUCUCUGCAAGGGUUUCAAAACUCUUCUUCGUUGCCUGUGAUUUUCUCUUUUCGGUUGGAGCGCCACUGGAGUCUCUCGCAGGCAGGUCGUGCUCUGGCAGAGUGGAGAUGUGUUAUUUGGGUUUUCAACAACAUUUGCUCUGUUUUGUUUUCCUCCAUUCUUCCUCUGUGAUCUUGCCUUAAAUCUAGCAAUGAGGGAUUUAUUCUUGCCGCUUGUGGAGGGUUUAGGGCUAGCGGGAGUUCGAAUCUAGUGGAAGGGUCUGAGUUUGGCUCAAAACUAGAGGAUUGGGGGUAUGUGAUGGUUUUGGGUUUGGUUUCGAGGAGGGUGGGAUUUCUUGUGGGGUUCUCGCCAUUUGUUAGGGAUAGUGGGUUUGGAUUCAUUGGUUCGUAAAGUUCAAAUAUGGUGUGUUCAGGUGAUGGGGUCAGAUCCGGUAGAGUGGAGGGCUGCUAUUUUAUUUUAAGUUUGCUUAUUUUUAUUGUGUUAUUUGGCUUUUUCAUUAUGUGUUUAUUUAUGAUUUCCUUUCUUUCAAGAACCUUAUUGAUGGGGUUCAUGGCUUCCGCCGCUGCGGUAUUCUUCUAUUUGGUCUCCCUUCAAAUUUGGAUCUGGACAAACAAGAUAUGGAUCCUUGGGUUCAUGUUCAAUUGUCGUGUUGCAGGAGCCUUCAUGAGUUUAGUGGAUCGUUGUUUAGUUUUCAAUAAUGGAGUCUUUCAUCUUUUGAAUGAUUUUAGGUGUUUAGUUUUUAUUAAAGUUGAUAUGUCAUUUUUCCAAUUGAAAAAGAAACUUGGUUUACUCCACACUCAUGAGAAGCUGAUUUGCUCAUGCCUUCUAGACUUAGUUAGAGUUUUCGUAUUGGCUUUCUUUAUAUUGAAAAUUGUAACAAUUAUUAUUGAGAGUUGCCUAAUCUUUAAAAAAAAACAUUAAAUAAAAUAAUUGCUACUUGAAAGAGAA